This 124-nucleotide microRNA precursor is filed under the name Hordeum vulgare. RNAcentral's name for it is "microRNA MIR1122". It matches the Rfam family "MIR1120/MIR1122 microRNA precursor family". The record is from RNAcentral. Lineage: Eukaryota; Viridiplantae; Streptophyta; Magnoliopsida; Poales; Poaceae.
AUUGUACUCCCUCCGUCCGGAAAUACUUGUCCUAAAGAUGAAUGUAUCUAGACUUAUUUUAGUUAUAGAUACAUCUAUUAUAUCCAUUUCUAGAACAAGUAUUUCCGGACGGAGGGAGUACCAU